RNAcentral lists this small nuclear RNA (23 nucleotides) under Arabidopsis thaliana (thale cress). RNAcentral describes it as "snRNA_06971". Lineage: Eukaryota; Viridiplantae; Streptophyta; Magnoliopsida; Brassicales; Brassicaceae. The record is from RNAcentral.
AGUUACAUCCUAAAAAUGCCUAA